UCUCGCUAAAGCCGGUGCAGGAUGAUGCUGAGCUCUGAAUCUUACAUGGUUCUGAAAGGCGCUGAGGUUCGUCCAUUCUAAACGAACGAUCGAUUUUCUGCUCCGCCAUGUUCACUGAAGUGUGUGGUGUGAAGCUGUAGUGUGUGGUGUGUAGCUGUAGUUUUUAGUGUGUAGCUGUAGUGUGUGGUGUGUAGCUGUAGUGUGUAGUUUUAGUGUGUAGCUGUAGUGUGUGGUGUGAAGCUGUAGUGUUUAGUUUUAGUGUGUAGCUGUAGUGUGUGGUGUGUAGCUGUAGUGUGUAGUUUUAGUGUGUAGCUGUAGUGUGUGGUGUGAAGCUGUAGUGUGUACUUUUAGUGUGUAGCUGUAGUUUUUAGUGUGUAGCUGUAGUGUGUAGUUUUAGUGUGUAGCUGUAGUGUG
Long non-coding RNA from Ictalurus punctatus (channel catfish), 414 nucleotides. NCBI's taxonomy places the organism in Eukaryota, Metazoa, Chordata, Actinopteri, Siluriformes, Ictaluridae. The record is from Ensembl.